RNAcentral lists this ribosomal RNA (527 nucleotides) under uncultured Candidatus Saccharibacteria bacterium. RNAcentral's name for it is "bacterial SSU rRNA". It matches the Rfam family "Bacterial small subunit ribosomal RNA", at positions 355 to 897 of the family's 1533-position model. The record is from RNAcentral. Lineage: Bacteria; Candidatus Saccharimonadota.
UUAGGAAUAUUCCACAAUGGGCGAAAGCCUGAUGGAGCAACGCCGCGUGGAGGAUGAAGGCCCUCGGGUCGUAAACUUCUUUUAAUAGCGAAGAAUAUGACGGUAGCUAUUGAAUAAGGGUCUGCUAACUACGUGCCAGCAGCCGCGGUCAUACGUAGGACCCAAGCGUUAUCCGGAUUGACUGGGCGUAAAGAGUUGCGUAGGUGGUAAAUCAAGCGAAUAGUGAAAUCUUGUGGCUUAACCAUAAGUCCAUUGUUCGAACUGUUUUACUCGAGAGCAGGAGAGGUAUCUGGAAUUCCCAGUGUAGGAGUGAAAUCCGUAGAUAUUGGGAGGAACACCGAUGGCGUAGGCAGGAUACUGGACUGUUUCUGACACUAAGGCACGAAAGCGUGGGGAGCGAACUGGAUUAGAUACCCAGGUAGUCCACGCUGUAAACUAUGGAUGCUAGCAGUAAGCCGUAUCGACCCGGUUUGUUGCGAAGCUAACGCGUUAAGCAUCCCGCCUGGGUAGUACGAACGCAAGUUUAA